Molecule: ribosomal RNA, 464 nt
Filed under: uncultured bacterium
Lineage: Bacteria
Description: partial 16S ribosomal RNA
Rfam family: Bacterial small subunit ribosomal RNA
Source: RNAcentral
CCUACGGGAGGCAGCAGUAGGGAAUUUUCGUCAAUGGGCGCAAGCCUGAACGAGCAAUGCCGCGUGAACGAGGAAGGUCUUCGGAUCGUAAAGUUCUGUUGAAGGGGAAAAAGAGCGGAGAGAGGAAAUGCUUUCUGAUUGAUAUUACCCUUCGAGGAAGUCACGGCUAACUACGUGCCAGCAGCCGCGGUAAUACGUAGGUGGCGAGCGUUAUCCGGAAUGAUUGGGCGUAAAGGGUGCGUAGGCGGCCUGCUAAGUCUGGAGUGAAAGGUACCGGCUCAACCGGUACAGGCUCUGGAAACUGGCGGGCUAGAGAGCAGGAGAGGGCGGUGGAAUUCCAUGUGUAGCGGUGAAAUGCGUAGAUAUAUGGAGGAACACCAGUGGCGAAGGCGACGAUCUGGCCUGCAACUGACGCUCAGUCCCGAAAGCGUGGGGAGCAAAUAGGAUUAGAUACCCUUGUAGUC